GACGAACGCUGGCGGCGUGCUUAACACAUGCAAGUGGAGCGACGAACCAGGGCUUGCCCUGGGGCAGAGCCGCGAACGGGUGAGUAACACGUGGGUUACCUACCCCGAUGACCGGGACAACCCGAGGAAACUCGGGCUAAUACCGGAUGUGGUCUUCGGACGAAAGGAGCUUCGGCCUCCGCAUCGGGAUGGGCCCCGCGGCGCAUUUAGCUUGUUGGUGGGGUAACGCCUACCAAGGCGACGAUGCGUAGCNGGUCUGAGAGGACGAUCAGCCACACUGGGACUGAGACACGGCCCAGACUCCUACGGGAGGCAGCAGUGGGGAAUCUUGCGCAAUGCGCGAAAAGCGUGACGCAGCAACGCCGCGUGGGGAAGAAGGCCU
RNAcentral lists this ribosomal RNA (382 nucleotides) under uncultured bacterium. Its description in RNAcentral is "bacterial SSU rRNA". It matches the Rfam family "Bacterial small subunit ribosomal RNA", at positions 28 to 417 of the family's 1533-position model. The record is from RNAcentral.